RNAcentral lists this ribosomal RNA (1455 nucleotides) under metagenome. RNAcentral's name for it is "bacterial SSU rRNA". It matches the Rfam family "Archaeal small subunit ribosomal RNA". The record is from RNAcentral.
UCGAGUUGAUCCUGCUCGAGGUCACUGCUAUUGGGGUCUGAUUAAGACAUGCACGUCUCGGAUACGAUUAAGGUCCGGGCAACCAGCUCAGUAACACGUGGACAAUCUGACCUAAGGAGAGGGAUAACCUCGGGAAACUGAGGACAAAACCUCAUAGGUGGCAAGUACUGGAAUGUCUGCCACUUAAACGAGAAAACCUGUAUUCGGUUUAUUGCCUUAGGAUGAGUCUGCGGUAGAUUAGAUUGAUGGUGGGGUAAUGGCCUACCAUGUCUACGAUCUGUACCGGCCAUGAGAGUGGGAGCCGGGAGAUGGACACUGAGACAAAGGUCCAGGUUCUACGGAGUGCAGCAGUCGCGAAAACUUUGCAAUGCGCGCAAGCGUGACAAGGGGACCCCAAGUGCGUGCUCAAAGAGUACGCUUUUACGGAGUGUAAAAAGCUCCGGGAAUAAAGGGUGGGUAAGACUGGUGCCAGCCUCCGCGGUAACACCAGCACCUUUAGUGGUGAUCGCGUUUACUGGGUUUAAAGCGUGCGUAGUCGGUUUAGCAAGUUUUCUGUGAAAUCCUGCGGCUUAACCGUAGGGAUUGCAGAAAAUACUACUAGGCUCGAGGCCGGGUAAGGUAUGGGGUAUUUCAGGGGUAGCGGUGAAAUGCUAUAAUCCCUGGAAGACCACCAGUAGCGAAGGCGCCAUACUGGAACGGGCCUGACGAUGAGGUACGAAAGCUAGGGGAGCGAACAGGAUUAGAUACCCUGGUAGUCCUAGCCGUAAACGAUGUGGAUUUAGUGUUCCCUGAAUCUCGUGUUCAGGGAGUGCUGAAGGGAAACCGUUAAAUCCACCACCUGGGGAGUACGGUCGCAAGGCUGAAACUUAAAGGAAUUGGCGGGGGAACACCACAAGGGGUGGAUGCUGCGGUUCAAUUGGAUACAACGCCGGGAAACUUACCAGGCGCGACGGCACUAUGAAGGCCAGGCUAAAGGUCUUGCCGAAGGAGCCGAGAGGUAGUGCAUGGCCGUCGUCAGCUCGUACCGUGAGGCGUACGGUUAAGUCCGUUAACGAGCGAGACCCGUGCCUCUAUUUGCCAAUCAAAAGGAGACUUUUGGAGCACUAUAGAGGGACUGCAUGCGAUGAGUGUGAGGAAGGCGCGGGCGACGGUAGGUCCGUAUGCUCCGAAUCGCCUGGGCUACACGCGGCAUACAAUGGCAGGUACAAUGGGUUGCAACGCCGUAAGGCGGAGCUAAUCCCCUAAAGCCUGUCUUAGUACGGAUCGAGGGUUGAAACUCACCCUCGUGAAGCUGAAAUCCCUAGUAAUCGCUGGUUACCAUCUAGCGAUGAAUAUGUCCCUGUUCCUUGCACACACCGCCCGUCAAACCAAUCGAGUGGAUUUGAGAUGAGGCAUUCUCUAACUGGGAGUUUCGAAUCUCGGGUUCGCGAGAGGGGGUUAAGUCGUAACAAGGUA